RNAcentral lists this ribosomal RNA (398 nucleotides) under uncultured bacterium. RNAcentral describes it as "bacterial SSU rRNA". It matches the Rfam family "Bacterial small subunit ribosomal RNA", at positions 30 to 423 of the family's 1533-position model. The record is from RNAcentral.
AUUGAACGCUGGCGGCAUGCCUUACACAUGCAAGUCGAACGGCAGCGGGCCUUCGGGUGCCGGCGAGUGGCGAACGGGUGAGUAAUGCAUCGGAACGUGCCAUUGAGUGGGGGGAUAACGUAGCGAAAGUUGCGCUAAUACCGCAUAUUCUGUGAGCAGGAAAGCAGGGGACCGCAAGGCCUUGCGCUCUUUGAGCGGCCGAUGUCAGAUUAGCUAGUUGGUGAGGUAACGGCUUACCAAGGCGACGAUCUGUAGCGGGUCUGAGAGGAUGAUCCGCCACACUGGAACUGAGACACGGUCCAGACUCCUACGGGAGGCAGCAGUGGGGAAUUUUGGACAAUGGGGGCAACCCUACGAUCCACGCCACUGCCGCCGUGAGUGAAGAAGGACCGUCGGUU